AAAUUGAAGAGUUUGAUCAUGGCUCAGAUUGAACGCUGGCGGCAGGCCUAACACAUGCAAGUCGAGCGGUAGCACGGGGGAGCUUGCUCCCUGGGUGACGAGCGGCGGACGGGUGAGUAAUGUCUGGGAAACUGCCUGAUGGAGGGGGAUAACUACUGGAAACGGUAGCUAAUACCGCAUAACCUCGCAAGAGCAAAGAGGGGGACCUUCGGGCCUCUCGCCAUCAGAUGUGCCCAGAUGGGAUUAGCUAGUAGGUGAGGUAAUGGCUCACCUAGGCGACGAUCCCUAGCUGGUCUGAGAGGAUGACCAGCCACACUGGAACUGAGACACGGUCCAGACUCCUACGGGAGGCAGCAGUGGGGAAUAUUGCACAAUGGGCGCAAGCCUGAUGCAGCCAUGCCGCGUGUGUGAAGAAGGCCUUCGGGUUGUAAAGCACUUUCAGCGGGGAGGAAGGCGGUAAGGUUAAUAACCUUAUCGAUUGACGUUACCCGCAGAAGAAGCACCGGCUAACUCCGUGCCAGCAGCCGCGGUAAUACGGAGGGUGCAAGCGUUAAUCGGAAUGACUGGGCGUAAAGCGCACGCAGGCGGUCUGUUAAGUUGGA
Molecule: ribosomal RNA, 602 nt
Filed under: Pectobacterium carotovorum subsp. carotovorum
Lineage: Bacteria; Pseudomonadati; Pseudomonadota; Gammaproteobacteria; Enterobacterales; Pectobacteriaceae
Description: bacterial SSU rRNA
Rfam family: Bacterial small subunit ribosomal RNA
Source: RNAcentral